AUCGCUUCUCAGCCUUUUGGCUAAGAUCAAGUGGAGUAUCGGUUCUGAUCAGUUUGAUAUCUGAUACGUCCCCUAUCUGAGGACAAUAUAUUAAAUAGAUUUUUGGAGCAAUGAGAUGGCAUCCGAGCUUGCUCCAUCCACUCCGUGCAUUGACCUGGUAUUGCGGUACCUCCAGGAAUGGGGUGCACGCCCU
Molecule: small nuclear RNA, 193 nt
Organism: Echinops telfairi (small Madagascar hedgehog)
Lineage: Eukaryota; Metazoa; Chordata; Mammalia; Afrosoricida; Tenrecidae
Gene: U2
Rfam family: U2 spliceosomal RNA
About the family: U2 is a small nuclear RNA (snRNA) component of the spliceosome (involved in pre-mRNA splicing). Complementary binding between U2 snRNA (in an area lying towards the 5' end but 3' to hairpin I) and the branchpoint sequence (BPS) of the intron results the bulging out of an unpaired adenosine, on the BPS, which initiates a nucleophilic attack at the intronic 5' splice site, thus starting the first of two transesterification reactions that mediate splicing.
Source: Ensembl